Molecule: long non-coding RNA, 561 nt
Filed under: Medicago truncatula (barrel medic)
Lineage: Eukaryota; Viridiplantae; Streptophyta; Magnoliopsida; Fabales; Fabaceae
Description: lncRNA gene3361
Source: RNAcentral
CUUUAUUUAUUUUCAAUCGAAAUAUCAUAUUAAUUAAGACUCUUUCUUUUGAGGAAUUGGAGGGUUAAAACCAUAGUAUGAUUAUAUGAAAUGAAAUGGCAAAAGUUGAAAAGAAUGUUUCAUGUCAUCUGACAGAUUUUGAUAAAGAAAUUACAAAGUACUUUGUGAACAAUAUUGCACAAGAAAUCACAAAGUAAUAGCUUACAAUACACAGAUGCCAGCAAAUAAUAGAUACAAUGUCAAUUACAAUUUCUUUUUUGGACUAAGUUUACAAUUUUAAUGUUGUCAUCACACUCUUGUAGAAUCUCUACACCAUGUACGCAAAAAAAAAACUUCUUUUGCACAUAGAUGUGCUUGGUUUUGGUUUUCUGUCUUCUAAUGCAUUUAGUAUAAUCAAAGAUUAGAUCAAGUUACUCCGCUGGUAGUAUAUAAAACAAAUAUUAGAUCAAGAGAUUUCACAUUUCAGGUUCAAACUCCGUUGAUUCUCUCUGAGUGCAACUUUAUUUUAUUUGUCAUUUUUGUGCAGCGUUAUUUGAUAUGCUUUCUUGUUGCAAUCUUCGU